RNAcentral lists this ribosomal RNA (253 nucleotides) under uncultured bacterium. RNAcentral's name for it is "partial 16S ribosomal RNA". It matches the Rfam family "Bacterial small subunit ribosomal RNA", at positions 524 to 776 of the family's 1533-position model. The record is from RNAcentral.
UACGAAGGGGGCGAGCGUUGUUCGGAAUUACUGGGCGUAAAGGGCGCGUAGGCGGCCAUCUAAGUCAGACGUGAAAUCCCCCGGCUUAACCUGGGAACUGCGUCUGAUACUGGAAGGCUCGAGUUUGGGAGAGGGAUGUGGAAUUCCAGGUGUAGCGGUGAAAUGCGUAGAUAUCUGGAGGAACACCGGUGGCGAAGGCGGCAUCCUGGACCAACACUGACGCUGAGGCGCGAAAGCUAGGGGAGCAAACGGG